CUGCUGCAGACAUGGAAACAUAGACAGGGACUCCACCCCUGAUACUAUCAUCCUGCACUGUCUAGACAUACCCCAAAUGUUUGAUCAAACAAUGAAAUAUACUGAGCCAUAACACACUUUCAUCUAUACCCGUGUAACUCCAAUGAAUCCGACAGGCAUCUUCCUGUCAUUAUGUACAGUCCACGUAGGAGCCAGAUACUCUGACAGAGUUGGUCAGCAUUGAUUUCAAUGGAGUUAUGAGUGAAGAAUUCUUCACAGUUUCCUAAGGCUGAUUAGCAAGAAACUGCCAUUGCUGUUCCAGACCAUUUCUCCACCAAAGUUGACACUACUUUUAAACCUGUCAGACAUUAUCGCCCCAAUGCAAUUUUCCCCAAAAUGUCUUUGUCAUGGACUCAACAAAUAUGAGGUAAUGUCUCUGACCUGUGGAUUACCUGCUUCAGUGCUUUUGUGCUAUCAAGGACAGCCAGAGACACAUUUUAGAUAAAAAGGAUUUACUAAACAGUCACGAAAUAAUAGUGAAGGCAGUUAGACACUGACACUGUAGAUCAAGAAAUGGCCAGUCCUGCAAGAUGCUGAGUACAUUCUAUGAGGUGAUUAAUAUCCUCAGGUCCUAAUGCAAUCAAGGUGCUCGUUACCUUUCAGACUUGAGCUCUCAGUCCCUAAUGAUUUGGGGUAAAUUAAAAACAAACAACAACAAACUAAAUAGCUAAGAAGCCCGAGUCUUGUUCCUAAAUGGGACUUAUGCUACUAAGUUAGGCACUUUUGAAAAUGGUAUCCUUAAGGCAAGUCUACACUACAGUCCUGCAUCGGCGCAGCUGCACUGCACUGCACC
This is a long non-coding RNA of Mauremys mutica (yellowpond turtle), 832 nucleotides long. RefSeq lists it as uncharacterized. The transcript is spliced from 4 exons. NCBI's taxonomy places the organism in Eukaryota, Metazoa, Chordata, Testudines, Geoemydidae. The record is from RefSeq and is a predicted model, not a curated record.